RNAcentral lists this microRNA (23 nucleotides) under Monodelphis domestica (gray short-tailed opossum). RNAcentral describes it as "mdo-miR-7398e-5p". Lineage: Eukaryota; Metazoa; Chordata; Mammalia; Didelphimorphia; Didelphidae. The record is from miRBase by way of RNAcentral.
AGUGUAGAGAAGGGUGAAAAUGC